GAUUUUGGUUAGCUACAUGGGCCUAGCCCAACUUUUUAGCCUUUUUUGUUCUCGGGGUUGUGGGCUUUUAACAUUGUUUGGGCCAUUAUAUCUGGUCCCAUCAAUAAGAUAGGUCCCACUUGUCAUAGUCUCACAUAUUGGGCCCACAUGAUAGAAAUUUCAAAACUGCUCAAAUUAUUUUCAUAACUGGGUCCCAUUAGCCAGGUUCCAAUUCACACGUUUCCAACUCACAUAAUCAAUAUUUCUAACAGAACAAAAAUGGUAAAUAAGCCUACUACAAAUUGUACAUAUCUAAUCCAACCCAGAUAUGCCUACCAUUACAAUAUUACAAUCUUUACAUUCUAUUUAGUACGCCUCGAGCUACUGUAAAGGAGUGAACACAAUGUAUAUUCUCAGAGUUCCCUAUAUAGGUGGAAACCAAGAAGCAGAUCGAGUUCCUCCUAAUAUAUAUUAAUAUAUUACUACCUCCCUAAUUCCGAAAUCAUUCCAUUUUUCUAUGACUUGGCCAUGAAACCAAACUGAUCCAACACAGCAACUGCAUCGGAUGUCACCUCUGCACCCCUGAAACAAAGAUGCACAACAUAAUCAUAUAAGCAAAAGCAGCAGCAAGAGGAAACUAUAUACUACUAUAAAACAAGGAAAUGAUAGAAAGGGAUUCCUUUUAUUUGCAGAUUGUGCAUUUUGUUUCACAAAGUAAAUAGUUCCUGAAUUCCAGAUUCUAUAAUAAAACAAGGUAUCCACCUAAUUUUUAUGAGGGCCUUAAUCUAUCACACCCCCAUUUCUUCUUUUAGUCUAUAGACCCUCUUCUUUGAAAAUCCUUUGCAUCUAUACAGAAAAUAAUAGUAUCGAAAGAGAUUCAGAUUAGUGAGCAACUUGAAAGGUAGCAAGUUGACAAGAUAAAAAGGGAUGGAUGGAUUAUUGACUGGAUGAGAUGACCCCAUCUAAUGGUGCGGAAUACUUGACUAAUAAUAUAUGGCAAGGCAAGACUACCCAUAUAUAGCUUUGAGAGUGAAAGUUCCUUGCACGCGACAAACUUAAGAAGUAGAAUCACUAUGAGGAAAUUAUAAGGUUGAAACUUGAGAUAAGAAUGCUCUAGAAAAUACAACAGCCAAGUAAAAGUGCACAAAAUAGGGAGUCAAUUUAUAUAUAUAUGUACCUAAGCAGGUUGCAAAAAAAGCAAAUUUUGGGUUGUUGGGUCCCCAGAUAAUUUGAUCUAUCUUCUAAUCAUGCACAAAACAGGGAGAAAACUGGGCUUCCUUGAACCUAGAAACAAUGCUGCGUAUUCACUCAUGGAAGAAAGGUGAUGUGCAUAACAUCCAGAAGGGAACGUCGAUACAAGUACAAACGCAAUCCAAGUCGGAUCUGGGGUGCAUGGGAGGGAGAGAAGCUCACCAUGUAUGUCCGCCCGCUGGGAGGGGGAAGAAACCAUCAGCCGUUGGAGAGAUGCCUCGGGGCGAAGAACUCCUCCGCCCCCUCUAGCCGCCCACACGCUUGGUGAUAAGGUGUAUGUCCUUCUCGGCCUUGCUCUUCUUCAGAGCGAGACUGCAACACCACUAGAGAAACAACAAUAGCAGAUCAAAUUAGAACCCAACACGAAAUAGUAGCAGCAGCAAGAAAACCCAAGCAAAACCAUAAUCAUCAAAAUAAGUUCACAAACAUUCAACUGAUUUUAGAGCAUUUUGUAUAUGUCUACAUGGGCUGGACAACAUACACUUGUGUACAUAUCUCUCGAAUACAAUGUGGACAGAAUAAUAAUCCAAUCUACAUGCUACUAAUUAAGUAGUAGUUAUUUGAAAACUGUAUAGGAGGCAAGAAGAACAAGUCAAGCUUGGCAAUUACAUUUUUUGCAAGUUACUAUUAGCUACAUGAAAUAAGCAUGGCACCAGAUUCACUAAAUAGGUAAGCAUGCAAAACAAAGCAUUGUUAAAAUUUGAAUCAGGCACGUACUGUACAUAUCUAUGCAUAAUUCCCCAUAUAACAUCUAUGCAUAUAUCCCCAUAUAUCUUACUAAGAAAACUAGCAAUCAAUCAUCUCAAACAUGUCAUGUACAUAUCUAUGCAUAUAUCCCCAUACAACAGAACUACUACAACAUCUAAGCAUACAAAUUUUCGCUCCCAUCCAGCAUCAUGAAUCUUCUCAGCUGGUACUACCUACCAGGUUGGUGAGUCGGCUCCUUCAGCAGCCAUACAGUACUGGAGAAGCCCUUAUAAACUAAGAAAAUACAGAACCGAUUCUCAGCUACCACGACGCAGCCAAAUAAGUAGCCUACAGCUUCGCCCUCAUUUGCUUGCUGGAAAGUUCACUUUCAAAGUAACCUACAGCUUCGCUGUUUGAGUGAGGACAUGUUUGGUAGUUUAGCUCAACCUCUACUUGACUGGUUGCUUAAUCUGUUUGUUUAAGUUCCUCGGCAGGGUUCUGAACCGGCGAAUCGAGUAUAUGGCACUGGACGACUGGGCGUUGAUAUACAGGGGCGAUGUGGUGAAAUAGAUACAUAAGCUGUGCAGAGCUCCAUGCUGAAAGAGCUAUAAGCGAUGAUAUCUGGGGAUGGAAGGAAGCCACGUCAGUUAUACUUCAAUUCCUACCUAUGAAACACAAGUAACAGCCGUAUUUACUUCCUAAAUUUCAACUGGAAACCAGAGUUCUGAAGGUCAUAUCCUCUGCUCUACUUUUGAUAGAUAUAGGGAGAAAACAAUUCUAAUCAACCCAAACUGGUAAACACAGAAAGCCCACGUUUCUAACCUAAAUUAGAUUACAUAUGCAAUACCCAAUUCCUCUGUCCCGCGUACUACAAUCACAGGUUACAGAAGCCAAUGAUAAUAAUCUUAGGGCAUCGCAAAUUUUGGGGAAACGAGGACUGUUGACCAAAACCAGCCAACCAAAUCAAACUCGCCUAGAACACACUGAGAAGUUGCUACUGAUACUAUCGACCUAAUUACAUGCGCGUACGCGCGUACAACGCUGAAAUCCCCGUCCUCAAAUGGUCCUAGAAACAACCACCACAGAACCCGCGAAACCAGGGCGGAAUCCAGGCGAGGAACGACUACAAUAAGACGAUGCCGGAAGGAUCAGUGGGGGUUCGGUCGGGGCCUCACCUUGUCCUCCGACGGGCUCUCGCGGUGGGGUUCGGGGUUCGGGGGUUCUGUGAGUCCUUCGAGGCGAGCCGGGGGGCGUUGUGAGCCGGCUGCUCCUUUUGAUUUGGGCGGGGAAGAAGCGCGUGCUAUUUUGUGGUGCCGAGCCAGCCGUGGCAGCGGUGGUGACAGACGCAAAUGGUGAGAGAGUCCGGCGCCGGGGCGGGGGAGGACGACAUGGCGCUCUGCUAUGGCCUGGGCAAGUUGAGAGGGGAGGGGAGGGGGCGGAGAUUUGUUUGGUGGUGGCCACUGGGCUGGGGAUGGGGAGAGGCGGUGGCAGUGGUGGCUGAGCGAGAGGUGGCACUGUCGGAGGACAAGGCGAGGGAGGGAGAGAGGUCGACGGCGGAGAUGUGGGUGGGGCGAUGUGUGACCCGCCCUAGUUGGGCCGGGUCACCAAGUGGCCGACUCAUACUUUGGCGGUUCAAGCUUUGGCCCAGAAGACCCAGGAGCUGGAUGGCGGUUCAAGAUCUAUAUGGAGGAUAAGUCAUCAGGGAGUCUUCGAGCCUUGGAAAGCAC
This 3644-nucleotide long non-coding RNA is filed under the name Hordeum vulgare. Its description in RNAcentral is "long non-coding RNA (HVUL_LNC012921)". The record is from RNAcentral. Lineage: Eukaryota; Viridiplantae; Streptophyta; Magnoliopsida; Poales; Poaceae.